Spinacia oleracea (spinach) is the source of this 3041-nucleotide long non-coding RNA. RefSeq lists it as uncharacterized. The record is from RefSeq and is a predicted model, not a curated record. NCBI's taxonomy places the organism in Eukaryota, Viridiplantae, Streptophyta, Magnoliopsida, Caryophyllales, Amaranthaceae. The transcript has 4 exons.
AAAUCCACGAGCUCUCUUUAAAAAGAGCCCAAAGGGGCAAAAUAAACCAGGGGUUCAUAUGAAUGAGGCAGGGAGAGGCUUUGGGAGUUUCCCGAGGACCGUUUUGCCACUCUCCCUUGAAGACCACCUUCUACGGUGGUCUUCUUCAGCCGAUGAGUUCUCCGACCACCGUCAAAACGGUCCUCAUCCCGCGGGAAAGAUUAACGGCUUCUCUUUCUUACUACUACUACGUACUGUACUCCGUAUUAAUUUCUAUUCUACUACUACAACUACUACCGUUUCAUCAUGAUCUUUAUUUUCACCCUUCAAAAUAAAUAAUAAAAAAAAUAUUGGGACCCUUUGAGGCAGUGAUGAAUGCGAACCGUUCAAAGAAAUCAAAUUCAAUUUGGAUUUGUGGGGAUUUUUAAGAAGUGGGGUAAUUUUCCAUUUGGCCUGGCAGCAACCUUAGUGUUCAGUUUGCCGCUAAAUGGGUAGAUUUUGCUCCCCUUGAAAUUCUCCCCCGAAUUGUUUUGAUUAAAUGCAGAUCUGAGCCUCCUUUCCUUCCACCCUUUCUGGGGAAUUUUAGUUGCGAAGCUUGAAAUGCUGUUAUGGUAACGUUAGCUCUCGUGAUUUUUUUCUCUGGAUGUUAGGUAUAUAUCAACUAAAGAGGGGGCUUCACAUCGAUUAUCUGAUGAUAAGUAUGUUCCCUGCCAUGUAAAUUUUCAUGGUGAGGGUCUUUGUUCGGCAACACAGAAGGGGUUUAUGAUUUAUCAAAAACAUGAUGAGUUUAAGAAUGAGGCUGGGAGAGGCUAUGGGAGUUUCCUAAGACCAUUUUGUUCCUCUCUUCUGAUGACCAACUCUACUGGCAGUCAUCAAUAGCCCAUGAUUUCUCCAAACACUCAGAAAAUGGUCAUCAGAGAAAAGGCUGCUGAGCCAGUUUCUUUUAUUUGAGCAUUCUUCUUCUCUUAUGCAACUUCUCCGGAAUCUUAUAUUGCUCUGUCUUUUCCAGUUCCAUCUAAAGAGGUUGUCCUUCCUCCAUCCAAAUUGAGGAUUGAGGAUCAAAGUUUUCCAGAAAUCCAAUUUCGUAGUUACUCGCUCUGUCUUUGGUGAAUCUUGUCUCAAUUUCUUUCAUUGCUAACUCUUUCAAUUUGGAUUGAUUAUUAGAAAAAAAAAAAAUCAGACCCCCCUUGGUUAGGAACUUAUGACAGAGGCUGGAGAGGCUAUGGGAGUUUCUGUGGACCGUUUUGCCCCUCUCCUUUGAUGACCACUUUUACCAGCGGUCAUCUAUAUUGCAAAUGAUUUCUCCAGAACCAGAAAAUGGUCCUUCAACUUGAAUAGGGAGUUCCCAGUUGAGAAAGAUGAAUACGAAGCAUGUGGAGUCUAGUGUCGUUUUUAAACUAAUUGGAGGCAGUGAUGAUCAUAGACCAAGGGCCUGUUCUUUUCACCUGUGAAACUUUUACUUAUCUGAGCUUUCUGAACUGAACUUAUGUAUCUGAAGUUUCUGAACUGAACUUAUAUAUCUGAAGUUUCUGAACUGAACUUAUAUAUCUGAACUUUUUGAACUGAACUUAUAUAUCUGAACUUUCUGAACUGAACUGUAUGAACCUAUUGAACAUGGAACUUUUUAAGGUGAAAAGAACAGGGCUGCAGUAAUCAGGCUCUUGAGAAACGGCCUAGAGGGUCUUGCAUGUGCUUGGCAGGGCAGCAAAUGGAACUCUUAGUUUAUGAGUUUUGCCUGCUUUGCCGCCAUUGCUUAACCUUAAGGCCCCUUUCUAUGCCUGAUGAAAGCGAAUCUGAGCCUUGUUUUUCUCACAAAAAAAUUUGUGGGGGAUGGUUUCAUUGGUUUAGUGGGGGCAUAGAGGUAGAGGUUGUUUUUUCUCUUUUCACAAGUUUUGUGUCUUCAUGAAAUUUUCAUGAAAUGUUCCAACUGUCAGCCAAAGUGCUAACCACGGAACUAACCAGUGUCUAAUUCUGAUAAGGGGAAUUCAGGUGAAAAUAAGGAAGCCUCUCUUUGUGCAUGUUUGUAUUGGUUCUAAUUAUUUCCUGCCCUUGUUAUGAUUUCAUCAUGUAUGAAAAGCUUAUCUGAAAAUCUUCCCUUCUCAUCUCUCUUCCCUUACACUCAUGUCUCACCCUUUCAUUGCGCUGAUUUCUGAGUUUUUGAAGGCGAACUGCAAACCACAUCAAGGAUUGUGAGUUUUAUAGUCGGGACAUCUGAAUGUAGAGGGGAAAGAUGACACUAGACACAAAAGAACAGGUGGAUAAUUAUUGGAUACAUAUUUGGUUGUAGCUCACUCAAAAAUCGUACAAAAGGGAGUUUCUGUUAGAGCUCUUAACCCUAAUUCUGGAAUGCUUGGCUCCAGUGGUUGAAAAAGGGCUUCCACCUCCUGCAAGUCUACUUCCUCCUUAGCCCAUGCAUAUACUCCGUAGAAAGAAUGAUGAUGAUUAGCAAGAGAGAUAGGGAGCUUACAGAAGGCGGCGUGUGUGCUGUUUUGGUUGAAACCGUGUCCGUGAUGUAUAAUGAAGAUUGACAUCUUAGCAGCACUUACCAGCACAGAAUGAACGAGGUAUAAUACUGUGGAUUAAAACAUAUUUCACUCUUGGAUCAUUUUCCCAUUGAUCAAGAAAGCUUUUGUACUUAACCUGCAUUUCUGCAACAAAUUAAAUACACACGAAGGUGGUAAAUCAAGUGGCAUAAGUCGCGGUUAGCGUUUUUACUUGUAACUGUCCAAGUCCAUAUAAUUCAACUGCAAACGUUGAAUCCAUGGCAUUGAGACCUUUGGGACGAUGAAGAUUCAAGAGUAACGCCAUUUGGGUAAAUGGUUGUCCUUGAUGAAUUCUUCCGCAGCAGAAGCGGAAGCCAUGUGCAAAAAUGAGCUAAAUAAAGAUGAUUUUUAGAGACAAAUUAUAAUAACUGCUAAAUUUCCACUUUUUUACCAUCUUUAACAUAAUCACAAAUUUAACAAAAUCUUAUUUCAUACAUCUUAAUAACUCUUUUUAUAUAUGUAUUAAUUAUAAUAAGUUACAUGCUUACAUUGAAAGUUUAUAAAUUUUGUUCUUUGAAA